GACGAACGCUGGCGGCGUGCUUAACACAUGCAAGUCGAACGCUGAAGCCCUGGCUUUUGUUGGGUUGGAUGAGUGGCGAACGGGUGAGUAACACGUGAGUAACCUGCCCUCUUCUUUGGGAUAACGCCCGGAAACGGGUGCUAAUACUGGAUAUUCACUGAUCUUCGCAUGGGGGUUGGUGGAAAGGUUUGUUCUGGUGGGGGAUGGGCUCGCGGCCUAUCAGCUUGUUGGUGGGGUGAUGGCCUACCAAGGCUUUGACGGGUAGCCGGCCUGAGAGGGUGACCGGUCACAUUGGGACUGAGAUACGGCCCAGACUCCUACGGGAGGCAGCAGUGGGGAAUAUUGCACAAUGGGCGAAAGCCUGAUGCAGCGACGCCGCGUGAGGGAUGGAGGCCUUCGGGUUGUAAACCUCUUUCGCUCAUGGUCAAGCCGCAACUGUGGGUUGUGGUGAGGGUAGUGGGUAAAGAAGCGCCGACUAACUACGUG
RNAcentral lists this ribosomal RNA (486 nucleotides) under uncultured bacterium. Its description in RNAcentral is "partial 16S ribosomal RNA". It matches the Rfam family "Bacterial small subunit ribosomal RNA", at positions 28 to 507 of the family's 1533-position model. The record is from RNAcentral.